RNAcentral lists this long non-coding RNA (16913 nucleotides) under Capsicum annuum. RNAcentral describes it as "long non-coding RNA (CANN_LNC009416)". Lineage: Eukaryota; Viridiplantae; Streptophyta; Magnoliopsida; Solanales; Solanaceae. The record is from RNAcentral.
CCUUCGUUACCACCAUAGACCCCACAAAAAAUCACAAACAUGGGCUGUACCGCAACCUUUUCAGGGCCGGAUCAACAGAAUUUGGGUCACAAACUCAAACAUUCACAAAUGGGCAAAGAGAAACACCAAGUAACAAGAAGAAGCACAAAUGAAUUGCAAACAGAUGAUUCAUCACUUCUCAUCCAAUACAACAAUAAAUUUGAAAUAAGAAUUUGAACAACCUCCUGGCAACAAUAAAAUAAAUGGAAUCAUUUCACAUGGCAACACAUUAGAGAUGAGCAAUUUGAACAACCUGUAAACAUAAUAACUGGAUAGGCAGCUCAAAUCCAAUAAGUAAUGGAAGUCUCAAGAUCCUUUCUUUAUAAAAAUAUCAAGUUGGAAUACAUACUUCAAGAAUUUUAAGCACAUUAAUCUUUCAAAGGGCAAUAAACCCAAGAUAGAAGGUUCCCCAAAAUUUCUCUUAACACUUGAAAUAUUAAAAUAAAGCUACACUAAUAGCCUCUCAGUUCUCAAGUAACUGUCUCAAAGACCUCAAACAGAAGUUGUUGCCUUCUUCCUUGGAGCUGCUUCAGUAUCUGGACAAACAACAGUAAAAAGUGUAUUAUUAUCUUAUACAAGUUAUGACCAGAUAUUCUUGAUCAUCAAAUUUCAUUGUCUAAACCAAAAUCUUAGUCAAACUAAAACAAGAAAGAUCACUCUGAAUUAUAGAUGUGCAUCUUUCACAAUCACUCAUAAUUUUCAUGCAAAAUAUUUUUUAAAAAUAGUUUUAUCUUGAAAAUUUAUUUUCUAGAACUAUUUACAGCAUUCGGUUGGGUACAAAGUCACCAACCAUACUCACUCAUACAAGGUGGAAGAUAAAGUGUAACAAAAGUCUUAAAUACUCCCAUCGAUCCCAUUUGUUUGUGCUUCUUUCAUUUUUAGUUGGGAUCGAAGAAGACACCUUUCUGUCUUUAGUCAUAAUUUAACUUCAAACAUUUCAUUUUACCCUUAAAUAAUGAAUUUAUGGCCACACAAAUAUCAACCUCUUAUUUCGGACAAUAAGUUUCAAAAGUAUUUUUUCAUUCCUCAUGACCAGUCAAACACCUUUACAUAAAUUGAGACAACGGGAGUAGUUGUGAUUAGGAUCCCCUCCAGUAUCUGUUCCUCCUGCUACUCUAAUAACCUUGUUGACUUUUGACACGAGUCACUUGUUAAAUCUCACUGGCCAAAUCAGCUACCUCUCUUAAUCAAUAUACACACACAAAGUCACUCCUCCUACUAAAGAAAGUACCAAACCUAGCACUACUAUUUCCAUCAUUGCAAACUCUAUAUACCACAUGCCAUGGUUUAUUUCAGAACACAUCCCCUAACCCAGAUUUAUUAGAAACAAGUUCCUCUUUAAUAUGAACAAAACCAUAGUGGUUCCAUCCUAGAAUGUGCACAAAUAAUCUAUUCUACUCCACCUCCAUAUUCUUAGUGUUGGGAAAAUAAAUAUUCCCACCCAGGAUAUUAUCCACACAAAAUAGCAAUAACAAGAGAGUAAAAAGGACACCAAAUAUUAUAACGGGGUGAAUAAAAUACUCAAUGGAGGAAUACAAUAAUAGUGACUAAAACUUGACAGUGUCAAAACACUACUACUAUUUAUAAACAAAACAACACACUUUUAUUUCUCAAAACUCACUACAAUAUUACUCCUACACUAUUAUCUCACAGACUAUAGAAUAUCUGUGGAUUACUCUCUUUCCUCUCUAUUGGUCUCUCAAUUUUGUAGUACCUAAAACUGAAAUAAAAAUCAUCUAUUUAUAGAUUAACAUCCAAAAUUUUUAUGUUGCGGCACCAAUUUCCAACUUGAUCAUGUUGCAACACUAACUUCCAAAUUCAUGUCACCACAUUACACAUGUUGAAACACUAAUUUUUCUUGUUAUUUUUUAAUUUAUUUUAAUUAUUUUGAUCCCACAAAUCUCUCCCUUAAUUUUAAUUCUUCUUCUUCAUUGUAAGACUUGAUGUCUAGUUGAUGAAUUUUUCACUUUAUUUGUAAAGCCAAAGAGAUCAGCAGGCAUAUCAUCUCCAUGCGGGCAAUAGGUGCAUAGACUUCUUCUUAGUCAAUGCCAUGUCUUUUCUUGUAGCCUUUAGCUAUGAGUCUUACCAUGUAUCUCUCUACUUUUCCAUGAGCAUUCUUCUUUGCCUUGUAUACUCAUAGAAUCCAAUUGCUUGAUGAUAUUUAGGAAGAGUUGUUAAAUCUCAAGUGUUUUUCUUUUUUAUCGACUGAAUUUCUUCCUCAAUGGCUUGUCUCCAUCUUUUGUCUAUAAUAGCUUUAUUAAAAUUCAUUGGUGCACUAUCAGCAUAGAGACAACACAAAAAAUCAAAAUUAGUAACUUCUUCUGUGUCAUCAUAGGGUUCUUGGAUGCUCUUCAUCCUCUGUAGCCUUUCACUUGAACUCUGAUCUUGAGAAAAAGAAAAUGCAACAUUUGCUGGUAGGGUUGCAUCCUGUGCAGGUCCCAUGGUAUCUAGCUCUUCUUCAUCUCCAAAGUAUGGAAGAAAAUCAUAUGUUCUUUCUUUCUGAGCCUCCUGGCCUUCCUAAUUUCAUGACGCUUCUUUAUCAAAUUCAACAUCACGACUUACCACCACUUUGUUGUCACUUGAAUUAUAUAGCUUGUAGACUUUUGAACUAGUGUCAUAGCCAAUAAACAUAUACCUGAUGCUUUGAUCAUCAAGUUUAGCUCUCCCUGUGGAAUAUAAGCAUAGUCUAUGCUUUCAAAAAUUCUCAAGUUCUUGAAACUUGGAGUUUUUCCGCUCUAUGCUUCUUGAGGUGUUUGAUCUUUCUCAUUUCUUUUUGGAUACUUGUUGCUUAAAUAAACUACACAUGAAAAAGCUUCGGUCCAAAAUUCUUUUGGUAUAUUUUUAGCUUUCAACAUACAUCUUGCCAUAUUAAGAAUUGUUCUAUCCUUUCUUUCUAUAACUCUAUUUUGUUGGGGCGAGUAAGGUACCGUUAGAGGGAGACGAAUUCUAUGAGACUAACAAAAGUCACUAAAUUCUUUUAAAGUGAAUUCGCCUCCUCUAUCGGACCUUAGGGCUUUUAUUUCAUAGCCACUCUCUUUUUCUACAAGUGCUCAGAAAUUUUUAAAGGCAACAAAAGCUUUUAAUUUUUGCUUCAAGAAAUAUACUCAAGUCUUUCUACUGAGAUCAUCAAUAAAGAGUAAGAAGUAUUUACUUUUACCAAAAGAAUGCGGAUCGAUUGGACCACACAAAUCGAUGUGAACAAGCUAAAGUGGAUUAAUUGCUCUUGACGUGGUUUCCUUCGAAAACCCCUCCUUUCAUGUUUUCCAAGAAGACAAGCUUCCCAUAGUUGAUUGGGAUGAUUGAUUGAUGGAAUUCCAUCAACCAUGUUCUUGUCUCCCAUUGAUUUGAGAGCUUCAAAGUUCAAAUGUCCAAAUCGCAUAUGACAACACCAAGACUCAUCUUGCACAUUAGCCUUCAAACAUUUUUGCAUUAAUGGUCUUAAGAUUCAAAAGAAAUAAUCUAUUUUUUGCCAUAUGCACUUCGGGAAUUAAAUGAUUACUUGAAUCUCUAAGCCAAAGAUGUAUAUUUUUUAUAUGAAUAUCAUUCCUUUUUCAAAAAGUUGGCCAAAACUCAAAAUAUUAUUUUUUUAGUUUUGGCACAUAGUCUUAUUGAUCAAUUUUUUAUCACCAUUUUUACAGGAUAUCAAAAUCGUAUCUAUUCCUUCAAUUUGAAUCUCUAGGGUAUCUCCAAAAAACACAUUAUCUCUCGUCGUCUUCUUGAUCUCCAUAAACUUGUCUUCGUAUCCACACAUAUGAUUACUUUCCCCAUUAUCAAGAUACCAUGAACUAUAAUCAUCUGUAUCAUCUACUGUGAGAGCCAUUAACAAUGUUGACUCAUCUUCUUCUUUGUUGUAGUCAAUGUCACACCCCUUUUUUUUUUCACUUCAAAAAGAUUCAUUUUAAAUCUAAAAGAGUUUUAUUAUUAAGUGACAAAAGAUGAAAAUUUAUUUCAAAAAUGGAUUAUUUACAUUUAAACUCAGAGCCGCCACUUGGCAUAGACCGGUGUACCAAGUCACCUUUGGAAAAUCCUUUUCAAAAUGAUUAGACUCUUGAAACUGGUUUGCGAACAGAGAUUCUGGUUAAAGAAUUAUGUUGACCGAGGGGAAGGUGUUAGGAAACCCUCGAUCCCAUGGUUCGACCAUGGUCGCUUAGUAGAGUGAAUCAGCUAAUUUGGCACUACGAUGUAAAAACCACAUAAAAACAUGUAAAACAAUCAAACAAACAAACAAAACCAAACGAAUCCAAAAUAUAGUGUCCAAUCCGAGUUAUACAGUCCCAAAAUAGAAAAAUACAAAAAUGUAAAUCAUAUUCUAAACUAAUCCUAGACUAAGCUCUAAUGCCUCAUCCGAUGCCUCGGACUUUCAUCACGAACGUCCUCCAAGUGCAAGAUACUUCGGGGCAUUUCCCGUAUAAAUCAAUACAAAUACCUCGAGGCGUUCCCCGGCUAAAUGAAUACAGUAGAUCCAAAUGCGGUAAACAAAAACUUUCAACACAUAAUCCAAACAUUCCACAAUCCACAAGUUCUAAAUUUGCCUAUCUGAGCCUACUGUUUGCUUACCCAGCACGACCAAUCAUGGCACUAUUACAAUCAGUGACAUCAAUGAAUCAAAAUGACAAUAUUCAUUUUUGUCAACUUUCAAUUCCCGCCCCACUUUUAUCGAUUUAAUUCUCAAAUAAGAUAUCAUUUUAUUGCACAACACAUAAAUAAUAAAUCAACACCAAGUAAUUAUUCACCAUCAACAAGGAACAAACAACACUCAAACAUUCAAACUAUAACAUCGAAUAUCAUAAAGAGUGAAAUAAAAAGAGAGGGAGAAGAGAAUCAGACCUCACUUAUCAAUUUAAAUGUAGUGUUAUUCAAUUAAACAAGACAGAGUCCAGUCGAGAACCUCAAAUUGAACUUCAACCGUGACCCACCAACUCGAAUCCAAACCGAAUGGAACUCAACUAACGACUGUGAAUACCCGAGAUCAACAACCAGACAGAUUUCAAACCCAAAAAUAAAGACCUCAAUAUGAAAACCAAGACCCGAACCCAAAAUGAUGACUAAUGAAAAUCAAAAUCCAAUUUUGAUUUUAAAUCACCAAAAUAGAUGAACCCAAGCUGCAAAAAUCUGAUAAAAAACUAAGUACCCACACGACUUGAACUUCGGUGAGCUAACAGUGCCCAAAAUAGAUGGAAGUAGGACUAAUUCCAGAGAGUUUGAAUAUUUUUGAAACGAGGUAGCUCGAAAACUUUCAAAAACAGACUGUUCUGGUGAUAUUCUUGUUUCCCUAUUGGACUCAUCUAGAAAUGAACAGAGGACGAUGAGAUUCCGGCAAAAUAGUCACUGGAACAAUGACCAAACCCAUUGAAACCCAUUUUUGAGUAACCCAAAAUCAAUACAGUUUUCUUCUCCAUUUAAGAUCUCAACUUUGAAUCUCUCUCUCGCACGCGCGAAUCUCUCAGUGUGUGUAUCCCCUAUUGUGCAUGCGUUCAAUAGGUGUAUAUAGUAGCUCUAUGUGUAUCUCCUAUGUGGAGAAGAAAAGGAAAGUUGGGGUCUCUCUGUAUUUCUGUUUGUGUAUGUAAGGAUGAUGAUGAUCUCCUUCCGUUAAUAGUGGUGUGUUCAAAAGAAAAACAAGAGUUAGACCGUGUUCCAUGCUUUUUUCAUCAAUGGAGAAUAUCGAUUCAUGAUGUAGUGGGUAUUGUGUGUAGCGCGUGACUAUGAAAAUGAGGGUGGGUCAGUGAAUUGUCAGUCCCCCUGUGAGUGAGAAUUGUUUUCUUUUUUAAUUAUUUUGUGGGCCCUUAAAAGUGUCUAUCCAAAAAUGGAAGAAUUUUUUUUUGUCCCCUCUCUGUUAAAUAAUAAUUAAAAUAUAAAGGGAAGGGUGGCAUGUGGGGUAGGUGGUGAGGUGGGGUAUGUGAGGUGUUAAAAUUUAAUAGGGAGGGGUUGUUAGAAUAAGAUAAAAUUAGUUAGGGGUUGUUAUUUUUGUAUUUUUGUGGGAUAUAAUCACAUGGGUGAGGGCACGCAGUAAGACAGAGGUAAAAUGGUAAAAAUGUUUUUGGGCAGGGAAAAAAUAAGAUGUCUACAUCAUGCCCUCUUUGAAUGUAAACACGAGAUGUUUUCAGGUAAAGAAGUAGACAAUGAGACCAAAUUUCAACCUGGCCAUUAUUUAAGGAGAGAAACAUAAAGAAGAAGAGAAACUGGAUCUUAACUUUGGAGAUCCUACCUACCCAAGUUAUGAAGGAAUCAAUUGACACACAUCUCAAAGGGUUGGAAAGAGAAGGACUAUAUUGAGUUGGAGAGUCGAGUGAGGUUCCAUCGAGGUUUCGGUCCGCUGCUCUAUCAUUACAUCAAAACAAAAAUUACAAGUUAAAACAUAAAUGAAAUUACAAAAUACUAUCUAUGCAUCUUUUUUGGACUCUUGGCUUGAGUUUCAUCACCCUAUUCUUCAGGCAGACUCCUGACUUGCAAUUUCUUCAACUUGUUGCUUGACUUCCAAUUUCCUUACCCUGUUCUUCAGAUGGGCACCUGACUUGUAAUUUUUCAAUUUGUUAACUUUAAAGUUCUUCACCUUGUUGCUUAACUUUUAACUUCUUCACCUUGUUGUUUGACUUAGGCUCCAGAAAUCACAUCAAAACUAAAAAGAAAAUUACCCCAUACAAAUAAAUGCAUCUUUAAUGAGUUAAUUAGAAUGAUUUGACUAAAAGGUAUGUCUUAUAGGAGUCAAGGGGAAUGACUCGACUAAAAGAUAUGUCUUACACGAAUCACAGGGAAUGACUCGACUAAAAAGUACAUCUUCUAGGGGUCAAGGGGAAUGACUCGACUACAAGUUACGUCUUCUAGGGGUCAAGGGGAAUGACUUAACUAAAAGGUACGUCUUAUAGGAAUCAAGGGGGAUGACUCGACUAAAAGGUACGUCUUAUAGGAAUCAAAGUGGAUGACUCGACUAAAAGGUACAUCUUAUAGGAAUCAAGGGGAAAGACUGACUAAAAGGUACGUCUUCUAGGGGUUAAAGGGAAUGAUUCGACUAAAAGGUAUGUCUUAUAGGAAUCAAAGGGAAUGACUCGACUAAAAGGUACAUCUUGAUGGGGUCAAAGAGAAUGACUCAAAUAAAAAGUAUGUCUUAUAGUAAUCAAGGGAAAUGACUCGACUAAAAGUUACGUCUUAUAGGAAUCAAGGGAUAUGACUCGACUAAAAGGUACGUCUUAUAGGAAUCAAGGGGGAUGACUCGACUAAAAGGUGCGUCUUAUAGGAAUCAAGGGGGAUGACUCGAAUAAAAGGUACGUCUUAUAGGAAUCAAAGGGGAUAACUCGUCUAAAAGUUAUGUCUUAUAGGAAUCAAAGGGGAUGACUCGACUAAAAGGUACAUCUUCUAGGGGUCAAAGGGAAUGACUUGACUUAAAGGUAUGUCUUAUAGUAAUCAAGGGAAAUGACUCGACUAAAAGGUAAGUCUUUUAGGAUUUAAAGGUAAUGACUCGACUAAAAGGUACGUCUUAUAAGAAUCAAAUGGAAUGACUCGACUAAAAGGUACAUAUUAUAGGAAUCAAAGGGGAUGACUCGACUAAAAGGUACGUCUUAUAGGAAUCAAGGGGGAUGACUCGAUUAAAAGGUACGUCUUAUAGGAACCAAAGGGAAUGACUCGUCUAAAAGGUAUGUCUUAUAGGAAUAAAAGGGGAUGACUCGACUAAAAGGUAUGUCUUCUAGGGGUCAAAGGGAAUGAUUUGACUAAAAGGUAUGUCUUAUAGUCAUCAAAGAAAAUGACUCGACUAAAACGUAUAUCUUAUAGGAAUCAAAGGAGAAUGAAUCGACUAAAAGGUACAUUUUAUAGGAAUCAAGGGAGAUGACUUGACUAAAAGGUAUGUCUUACUAGGAAUCAAGGGAGAUGACUCAACUAAAAGGUACGUCUAAUAGGAAUCAAAGGGAAUGACUCGACUAAAAGGUACGUCUUCUAGGGGCCAAAGGGAGUGACUCGACUAAAAGGUGUGUCUUAUAGGAAUCAAAGGGAAUGACUCGACUAAAAGAUACAUCUUAUAGAAAUCAAAGGAGAUAACUCGAUCAAAAGGUACAUCUUAUAUGAAUCAAGGGGGAUGACUCGACUAAAAGAUACGUCUUAUAAAGAUCAAAGGGAAUGACUCGACUAAAAGGUACGUCUUCUAGGAAUCGAAGGGGAUGAAUCAACUAUAAGGUACAUCUUCUAAGGGUCAAGGGGAAUGACUCGACUAAAAGGUACGUUUUAUAGAAAUGAAGAGAGAUGACUCGACUAAAAGGUACGUCUUAUAGGAAUCAAGGGGGAUGACCCGACUAAAAGGUAUGUCUUAUAGGAAUCAAAGAGGACAACUCGUCUAAAAGUUAUGUCCUAUAGGAAUCAAAGGGGAUGACUUGACUAAAAGGUACAUCUUCUAGGGGUCAAAGGGAAUGACUUAACUUAAUGGUAUGUCUUAUAGUAAUCAAGGGAAAUGACUUGACUAAAUGGUACGUCUUAGAGGAAUCAAAGGGAAUGACUCGACUAAAAGGUACGUCUUAUAGGAAUCAAAUGGAAUGACUCGACUAAAAGGUACAUCUUAUAGGAAUCAAAGGGGAUGACUCGAGUAAAAGGUACGUCUUCUAGGGUUCAAGGUUAAUGACUCGACUAAAUGAUACGUCUUAUAGGAAUCAAAGGGAAUUAAUUGACUAAAAGGUACAUCUUCUAGGGGUCAAGGGAGAUGACUCGACUAAAAGGUACAUCUUAUAGGAAUUAAGGGAGAUAACUCAACUAAAAGGUACAUGUUAUAGGAAUCAAAGGAAAUGACUCGACUAAAAGGUAUGCCUUAUAGGAAUCAAAGGGAAUGACUCGACUAAAAGGUAGGACUUCUAGGGCUCAAGGGGAAUGACUUGACUAAAAGGUACCUCUUAUAGGAGUCAAAGGAACGAUUCGACUAAAAGGUACAUCUUAUAGGAAUCAAAUGGAAUAACUCGACUAAAAGGUAUGUUUUCUAGGGGUCAAGGGGAAUGACUCGACUAAAAGGUACCUCUUAUAGGAGUCAAAGGAAUGACUCAACUAAAAGGUAUGUCUUCUAGUAGUAAAGGUUUAAUUUAAGAAGUGUAUCAUCCAACAAAUGAAAAAUGAAAUCCCUAGACAAGAAGGUGUGUCUCCGAGGGAAAUAAGAUGAUGAAUUUUACCGUGAUUUGACUAUCAAACCUGUGCAACAACAUUGCUUUUUAUAUUUGUAAAAGUGAGGCAUUUCAACCCUUGAUAUUUAUGCUCUGAAGUCCUUACUUUGAAGGUAAUAUGUUUCCUAUUUCAUCAAAGAAAACUUGUGAUUUUAAAACAUGGUGGCUGGUUUGUGGCUUUAGCUUUCAUGGAAAUCGCUCCUACCCCUGUCACAUUUAAUCUUACUUUCAAUCAUUCAUGUGUCACUGACUUACUACAUCAUUGACUCGAACUCAGAUUAUUAAGAGUGACUUUAAAAUAGAUACAAUAUCUUUUCUUUGUCAUGCUUCUCAGAUAAACUCUUUGAACCUUAGUAUUUUCAUGAGUUCCCAGACUUACCGAUUGAUAAAAAAUUUGCAUGCCUUAUUUUGGCUCACAAUCAUGUCUCUUUCAUAUGUUGGCCUUUUGUCUUACUUUGCGCAAUUGAAGAAGCUGGUAGCUAAUUUUGAAGUCUUUUCUGACUUAUUUUGAUAGGACUUGACUCAAAGACAAGAGAAAAAAUGACAAUGAUUUUUAUUUGGACAACUGACUAAAGAAAAUAAAACAAAAAUAAAGAAAAUAAAGGAAAGACAAUGAAUAUCCACAUUUGAAACAAAGAAACAAAAAAUCAAUCUAAAAAUGACAGUAAACUCUAAUGAUUAUGCCAUGCAUUUUGAAUUAAGCAGCCUGAUCUUUUCAUCCAAACUUUCUACCAAUUGUUGUUGAGUUAAUUGCCUUGAAUCUGAGUUGCUUCCUUAGGUCAAUUGUAUUUAAGACCACAUUCGGCUAGUGGUACCUUGAAGGGUUUUCUCCCACAAGAUUCUCUCAUUUUCUUUUCCUCAGCUCACCAUUGUCUUAUGGUGUCUGUAAGGGUUUUCCACUAAUGAGACUCUCUUAUCUUCAUUUCCUUUAACUCAGAGUCGUCUUAUGGUGUCCGUGAGAGUCUUCACCAAUAAGACUCUAUCAUUUUUAUCUCUCUCAACUUACUAUCAUCUUACGGUGGUCGUAAGGGUUUUCACCAAUAAGAUUCUCUUAUUUUUAUUCCUCUCCUGAUUUUUUUUGUUGAGGAAGACAAGUAGUUCCUAAAUGCAUCAUCAUAUCCCUUGCAUGCUUAGCCUUAACAUCCUCAAAGAUAGAUCUGAAGAUGUUUCUUUGGUUGUAACUUGGAUUUUGGAUAGGGUUAGAAAGAAAGGAUGGCAUGGGGCCCAAACAACACUUGAAGUAGGGUAGGACUUACAACUUUUGGAAUCGACUCAAACAAUGAGGAUUAACACAUGCCCCAAUGUCUUUUAAUUGGGUGACUCUAAAUUGUUUAUUUGGUUGGACCGAGCUAGGAGUAGGGCAACCUACGUAUCUCACCCUCGAGAGAGGAGAAUCAGGUCAUGCGUAGUUCUGGUGGAUUGUUCUUUUGCUUGAUUCUGAUUUUUUCUUUUUUUUUGUUGACUUUUUAUUGACUUUUUUUUCUUUUUGGGACCUUCUGACUCUAUUUUUUUCUUGAUGCUCUUUUUUUUUCCUUCUUUUGGACAUAUUUUUUCUAUAAUUUCUUUUUGAAACUUUCUGACUCUAUUGUUUUGCUCGACACUUUUCUUUUGAGCUUUGCUGACUUUAUCUUGAUUCCAAAAGAGGGGUAUGAAAGAAAAUAGUACUAAAGCUCAAAUGGGGUAAACAAAAGAUGACACAAUGUUUGGAUAGCAUAAUGAAAUACCUUCGUCAUAUCAAUCCUUGAAAAUGCAAGAACAUAACAUGCAAUUUGAAAGUUGGAGAUGAAGAUCAUGUGCGACAUCUUUUAAAACAUUAACUUUGACUGAGUCUAUGCGUCACUACUUCUUCUGCGCUUUUCUAGCAUACAACUCCACUUUUGUUGUACAUUUCUUACAUUGAAUGACACAUGAUUUCGUGGAGCUGGUUUUCUUUCUGUUCCUCUUGAUUAGGAUCACACAUCCACUGAUUGACCUAAUUGAGGUAUGCCUUACAAUGGAUGACCAAGUUAUUCUGGUAAUUCUCAAAACAAUUGCCUUAAUUUUGAACGAAGGUUUCAAUAUGGUCACCAAAUGUCUUAAUACGCUACCUAUUUCUCACAUGCUUUUUCUAACUUUAGCCCUGUGAUUCAAAGUUCAUGCUCAAAUUGUAUUUUAAGAUCUAACGAAGAAUUCUGCCAACAUGUCAUAUCACUAAAGCCAACAUAAAAUGUACUAUGUAAAGAAAACAAACAAAGAACAUAUAUUUAAACACAAAGGAAAAAGGGACACAAUAUUUAGUUGACAUAAAAGAUAGAAAAGGUUUGACCUUAAACGACAAAAGGGACAAAAUAAGAUCGAUCCCGAACUACCACCCUAAAAUAAUUCAGAUAACAGAAAAGAAAACAAAACAAAUUACCAGACCUCUUCCUAGUAAGGAGAGGGGUGACUUCUUAAUUGCUCAGCCGGACAUAUUAGCCACUGAUUUGCAUAUCAGCAUGACUUGAUCUUUCACCACUAUCAGACACAUUUCCUUCAACAAAUAAGUUCUGGAUCCCCAUGCUUAAAUCAUUACCUCCCACAUAUUGUAUAGUACUGCAUGCCGGUGAAGAACUCUGUGGGAUGGUCGAGGGGCCAAUGUUUUGCACCACAAUCAAUUUAUCAUGAAUCAACUUUUCUAUUUUUCUUUUCAAAGUAUGACAAUCUUCAGUACGAUGACCCUGAACUUCAGAAUGAUAUGCACACCAUACAUUAGGAUCAAAAUUUCUUGAAUGUGGGUCAAGUAUAUACCUAAGGAAAGGAGUAAUCAUGCCCCUAUGUCUCAAUCUUUGGAACAAACUUGCAUAGGACUCCCCAAAUAGGAGUGAAAUUAUCCUUUUCCUUCCUCCUCUUUGUGAACUCUGGCCUCAGAUGAAACUUGAAUUUAGGGGUUCCUUGGUAAAUUUGUGGGGGUCAAGGACGAUGUUAAGGGACAGGUGUAUGCCAUUGUGGAUAAGAAGACGGAUGGGUACACAAUUAUGCAUUGUUCAAAGGACAUUGAGAAAGUGGAAUGGAACUCCUUGGAUUUUGAAAAGAGGAACCUUGUUGUAGAUAAAUAAGUGGAUUUGAUAUGUAAGCUCGGUAUUGAGGUUGAUAGUAUUGGUGAGUUGGACCUCUCAAACUCUGCUUUGGCCCAGGCACGACAACAGAUGCAUUUUCCUUCUUCUUUUCUUCAGUUUCCCUUGAAUGAUUGCAAUAUCAUCCCAAAUGUUUCACAGAAUCAUUCUGUCCACCAAGCUCCUCAAAUUUUGAUGUCUCAAAGCUUGGAGGAAGGUUAACACUUGAAAACAUGCCCUAGUUUUUAUAUGAAACAUCUUCAUAGCCCACAAGUCCCAAGGAAUUUUCAUAUCAUUUUAUACACUUUUAACUUUCCCAACCAUUUUCUCUGGGUCUUCAAGCAUGCUAGGCUUCUUAGUAAGAAAUUUUGGCGGUCAACUUAACUUAACUGUAGGCUCAAGAGUAUAAUAAUGAUCAUCACGAGUAUUGAAAGUGGAUUCACGAGUGGACUGGGGAAGCACAAUCAUUGGAUUGAUAACCAAAGUGGAAGAAUUAGUAGAAGGUUGAGCAACAAAAGCACAAACGGUAUGUGGUGAUGUGAAUGUGGUAGACUUAUACUGAGGAGAUAAAGAAAGAGAGGUGGAAGUAUUGAGGUGAAUUUGACGUGGAAUAGAUUCUGAGGCAUGCUGUGUUCCAUCAACCAUAGUAGGAAACUGACUUUACACGUUUGGUGGAAGACUCAAGGUAUUUGCAGGGUCAAAAGUGGGGAAAUGAGGUGGAGCUAGCUCGCUGGCCCAAGCUCGGUAUAUUUCCAUCAUUUGUUGUCUCAGUUUCAAAUUCUCUUCCUUUAAACUCUCAAUUUCCUAACUCUUUGUUUCAUCCAUGGUGCCACUCUCCAUAUCCUUUUUGGGUACAACUAAACCUUCCUUGGAUUUGGUGUGAUAUGGAGGACCAGCCAGGAAGCCACAAACCAACCACCUUAAACUAACUGAACAAGAGGCAACAAAUAUUUUAGAGUUCAACAUUUUUCAAAAUCUCUCUUUUUUUUAUUUUAUUUUUUUGAAAAGAUCACCAAACCCAAGAAGGGCGUCUACGUAUCUCACCCCCUAAGAGAGGAGGAUCAGGUGUGCGUAGUUCGUGAAGUCUUGCCAAAAUAGCCAAUUAAACUCUUUUUCUUUCUAUUUUUCUUGGAACUUUAAGAAGAAAAUAAAAUAACAAAUUAUCAAAAGAAUUGAUGAAAAUCUGUUUUGUAUUUUUCAGAUUUAAAUUCCUUAUACAAAAUGAAACCUAUGACAACCAAAGAAAAAUCUCUUUUUGAAAAUUUCGAUUCUAAAUUUCAUAGGAAAAUGAAACUUGAAACUAUUAAAGAAAUUUUUUUUUGUGAUUUUCUUUUUGAAGAUGUAUAUGACACACCGACUCUAAAUGAAGAGUGAAGCAAAUCUUUUUUGGAUUUUUUUUUCAUAUUCCUAUACAAAAUAAAAUCUAUGAUUACCAAAGAAAAUCUUUUUUGGUUUUCAAUUUCAAAUUUCAUAUGAAAAUGAAAAUUGAAACUAUUAAAGAAAAUUCUUUUUGCAGUUUUCUUUUAAAGAAAUAUAUGACACCUACUCUAAUAAAGAAUGAAGAAAUUUCAUUUUUUUUUAAUUUUCAAAUAAGGUCCCCAACCCAACAAUAAGCUGCCUACGUAUUUCACUCCUGAGAGAGAAGAAUUAAGGGUGAGUAGUUCGUCCAGAUUGGACAAUUAAUGAUUAAAUCACAGAUUGCACCCUGACUUGAGACACGGCCAAAGACAAACGAUAAACAACAUACCAAAAUCUUUUUUUUUUUUGAGUUUUCAAUUUGACACUUCACAUAAAAAAUGGCACCAACAGCUAUGAAAGAAAACCUUUUUGGUGUUUUCGUUUAAUGAAUUUACAAAACUUCUACCAUAUUUUUUUGCAUUUUUUUCUUUAUAAAAAACUCCAAUUUUUAAAAAAUAUUUUUUGAAAUUUUUGAAUUAUGAAUGCAUGGUAAAGGAACAAAAGGAAAAUCUUUUUGAUGUUUUUGAGAAAAAUGAGUGCGAAAGAUAAAAAAAUCUUUUUGAAUUUUUGGAUUGUGGAAAACAAAAGCAAUAAAAAACUCUAAAAACUAUGAAACCUACUUCUUUUUUUUUCGACUCAUUUUUUCUUUCUUUUUCCUCUCUUUUUUUCAAUUUUUCCUUGCCUACACACUCGAUUUUUUUCAACUUUUUCUUGCCUAUACACUUUCUUUAAUUCUAGCACACGUUUUCCCCCAAAUCAAUCUGUCAAAUGACCAUAUUACCCUUAAAGAUGCAACAUUUAGCACGUAGAGAUGCUUUAGAGGUGAAUCUCUUACAAAGGGUCAUGUGGGUCCCGCUAGGUCUCCAUAUGAUGCAAAUAAGCAUAACCUAAAGGAUGACCUACGCUGAGGUUUACUAACAAGGCUGUUCGGGGGAUCGUAUGAUCGAUAGUGGCUGCUUUGCUUUCCACCCACUCCAUACGUCCGAUGGCUCCCCCUCCUAAAAUAAGGGUGACUCAACUAGAGUUUGUGUGCAUGACGUGCACUCCAGGACUUGUUACAGAAAGAAUAACUCGGGUUAUGCACAUGAUGCCAGAUAUAAAGCAGUAACACAUACGAUAAAAACUGUAAACAAAGAGCACGUAGGCACUCAACAAUAAUAAACAAUAACACAAAACAGCACAAACAAAAUAUCUAUACACCUAUAGUGCUAAACUAAGCCGAUACAACUCCGACAAAUAAACUCAAAUUCUGAAAAGUCCCCAGAAGAGUCGCCAGAGCUAUCACAUCCCUUUUUUUCACUCUAAAAAGAUUCAUUUUAAGUCUGAAAGGGUUUUAUUAUUAAGUGACAAAAGAUGAAAAUUUGUUUCAAAAAUGGAUUAUUUACAUUUAAACUCACAGUCGCUACUUGGCAUAAACCAGUGUGCCAAGUCACCUUUGGAAAAUCCUUUUCAAAACGAUUUGACUCUUGAAACUAGUUUGCGAAUAGAGAUUCCAGUUAAGGAAUUUUGUUGACCGAGGGGAAGGUGUUAGGCACCCCUCGUUCCCGUGGUUCGACCACAGUCGCUUGGUAGAGUGAAUCGGGUAAUUUGGCACUAUGAUGUACAAACCACAUAAAAAUAUGUAAAACAAUUAAACAAACAAACAAAACAAAAUAAAUAAAAAAUAUAGUGUCCAGUCCGAGUUAUACAGUCUUGAAAUAAAAAAAUACUGAAAUGUAAAUCAUAUUCUAAACUAAUCCUAGACUAAGAUCCAAUACCUCAUCCGAUGCCUCGGGCCUUCAUCACGAAUGUCCUCCAAGUACAAGAUACUUCGGGGCAUUCCCCAGAUAAAUCAAUACAAAAUUCUCAAGGCAUUCCCUGGCUAAAUGAAUACAGUCGAUCCAAAUGCAGCAAACAAAACCUUUCAACACAUAAUCCAAACAUUCAACAAUCCACAAGUUAUAAAUUUGCCUAUCUGAGCCUACUAUUUCCUUACCCAGCACGACCAAUCAUGGCACUAUUACAAUCAACGACAUAAAUUAAUCAAAACAAAAAUGUUCUUUUUUAUCAACUUUCAAUUCUCGCCCUAUUUUUAUUCUCAAAUUAUCGAUUUUAAUUCUCAAACAAGAUAUCAUUUCAUUGCACAACACAAAAAUAAUGAAUCAACACCAAGUAAUUAUUCACCAUCAACAAGGAUCAAACAACACGUAAAUGUUUAAUGCAUAACAACGAAUAUCAUAAAGAGUGAAAUAAAAAGAGAGGGAGAAGAGAAUCGGACCUUAAUUAUCAAUUUUAAUGUAGUGUUAUUCAAUUAAAUGAGAUAGAGUCCGGUCGGGAACCUCGAAUUGAACUUCAACCGCAACCCACCAACUCGAAUCCAAAUGGAAUGAAACUCCACCAACGAUAGUGAAUACCCGGGAUCAACAGCUAGACAGAUUUCAAACCCAAAAAUAAAGACCUCGAUAUGACAACCAAGAUCCAAACCCAAAACUACGACUGAUGAAACUCAAAAUCUAGUUUCGAUUUUGAAUUACCAAAAUAGAUGAACCCAAGCUGCAAAAAUAUGAUAGAAAACUAAGCACCCACACGGCUUGAACUCCGGUGAGCUAACAGUGCCUAAAACAGACAGAAGUAGCUCGAAUUUCGGAGAGUUUGAAUAUUUUCUAAACGGGGUCACUCGAAAACUUUUGAAAACAGACUGUUCUGGCGAUAUUCUCAUUUCCCUAUCAGACUCAUCCAAAAAUCAAUAGAGAACGAUGAGAUUUCAGCAAAAUAGUCACCGGAACAACGACCAAACCCAUUGAAACCCAUUUCCGAGUAACCCAAAAUCAACACUAUUUUUUUUUCCAUUUCAGAUCUUGACUUCAAAUCUCUCUCUCUCGUAGGAGAAUCUCUCAGUGUGUAUCCCCUGCUGUGCGUGCAUUCAACAGGUGUUUAUAGUAGCUCUAUGUUAUCUCCUAGGUGGAGAAGAAAAUGAAGGCUGGGGUCUCUCUGUAUUUCUGUUUGUGUAUGUGAGGAUGAUGAUGGUCUCCUUACAUUAAUGGUGGUGUGUUCAUAAGAAAAAAGAGAUGGACCGUGUUCCAUGCUUUUUUCAUCAAUGGAGAAUAUCGAUUAGUGAUGUAGUGGGUACUUUGUGUAGCGUGUGAGUACGAAAAUGAGGGUGGGUCUGUGAAUUGUCAGUCCCCUUAUGAGUGAGAAUUGUUUUCUUUUUUAAUUAUUCUAUGGGCCCUUGAAAGUG